CUUCGACUUCGAGGAGUAGUUAGGAGGUCCCAGGUAGGAGGCCUUGCCUUUUCGAUCAUUGCUACUUUUGUGCUAGCCUUCUUAAGGCAAUCUUGUUUAACUUAUGUCUGCACUUAGAUAUUAUUGCUUUUCGCUGACUCUUGUAUUUUUUGAGCUUAUGUAUUCGAGCCCUCGAGGCCCCUAGCUUGUAAUAUAAAGCUUGUAUUAUUUGAAUUUGUGUCUAGAGUUGUGUUGUGAUAUCUUCCCGUGAGGCCUUGAUCUUGAUCAUACACAUUUGCGUGUAUGAUUAGUGUACGGUCAAAUCAGGGGCGUCACACGCAGCCACUUCUCGGGCAGCGCCAACCAACGUCAUCACCCUUCCAGACGACGAUGAGGAGGAACCUCCGAGAAGCAGAGGGGGAGGAGGCAGGUCGACUCCCUCAUGAAGGUUGAUAGGAGAACACCUUCAGGUUAGACAUCUCAUACGCCGCCUGAACUUGCCUUUCAAGAGCCUGGUGGUUCGUCUCAGACCGGUGCUAUCGCUACUGCUCCACCAUCAAUUACUCUGCCAUUGGUGUCAACUCCUCCAACCUUUGAGCCUGCUGGCCAAACUCAAGCGCCAAUUCUUCUGACUGCAUCGUCAGCUCCAUCGCCAAUUGUAUUCGCUCUGCACCAUGUUCCAUAGGACCAGACCAAGGCCAGCAAGGAGGCUACGAUCCAGGCCGGUUUGAUGAUGCAGCGCCCAGAGGAGGUGUAUGAAAGCAUCAAGCUAGAUUAUGAUGUCAGCACAACCAUUCAAGCUAAUGUCCUUAAAUCUUGUGAACUUGGGACUCAGUAUGUUGCCCUAGAGAGGGAGAAGAUCCAACUCCAACUGGAUCUAGAACUCUCCAAGAAGAAUUUGAAGGAUGCUCAGGAUGAAGUGAAGACC
This is a long non-coding RNA of Triticum dicoccoides, 907 nucleotides long. RefSeq lists it as uncharacterized. Lineage: Eukaryota; Viridiplantae; Streptophyta; Magnoliopsida; Poales; Poaceae. The record is from RefSeq and is a predicted model, not a curated record. The transcript is spliced from 3 exons.